Molecule: long non-coding RNA, 270 nt
Filed under: Elaeis guineensis (African oil palm)
Lineage: Eukaryota; Viridiplantae; Streptophyta; Magnoliopsida; Arecales; Arecaceae
Description: long non-coding RNA (EGUI_LNC029229)
Source: RNAcentral
UUGUAGAAAUAAACUUUUAUAUAUUUCUGUUUUUUUUUAUCACUCAUCCCUAUAACAUAACAAGAUAUAUAUAUAUAAAUAUGGAAGGGCUUUGAUUGCAUCUGUAGAUCCAUGAGUCCAUGUUUGUAUCUCUUUAAGGUGAAUUCUAGCACUGCAUCAUAUUCACUUAAAGCAGUUGUCCAAGUCAUUAGUUGCAGACGAAAGUAAUUGCAAUGAGUACUUUCAUUCAGAAAACACUAUAUAAUGCUUUUACAAAGGAUAAGCAUUGAG